This 292-nucleotide ribosomal RNA is filed under the name uncultured prokaryote. RNAcentral describes it as "partial 16S ribosomal RNA". It matches the Rfam family "Bacterial small subunit ribosomal RNA", at positions 505 to 796 of the family's 1533-position model. The record is from RNAcentral.
GUGUCAGCAGCCGCGGUAAUACGGAGGGUCCGAGCGUUAAUCGGAAUUACUGGGCGUAAAGCGUGCGCAGGCGGUUUGUUAAGCGAGAUGUGAAAGCCCCGGGCUCAACCUGGGAAUUGCAUUCCGAACUGGCGAACUAAAGUCUUGUAGAGGGGGGUAGAAUUCCAGGUGUAGCGGUGAAAUGCGUAGAGAUCUGGAGGAAUACCGGUGGCGAAGGCGGCCCCCUGGACAAAGACUGACGCUCAGGCACGAAAGCGUGGGGAGCAAACAGGAUUAGAAACCCUCGUAGUCC